GAGUUCCGGCGAGACUUGCGGAGGGGAGGGAAAACGGGAAGACUGCGCGCAAGCGCGAUCUCGUCCUUUCCGAGGUCCUCUGCCGCGUGUUUGGAAGUUAUGGCCGCGCGGGUCUGUGGUGUUCUCCCUGAAAGGCCUAAGCUUUGGGUGAUGGUAAGUUGUGGAAAAGGGAAGAUGAGGUUUUUCCUACACAUACCGUCGACACGCUUGCUCUCUCCGGAGGUGACGUGUCGACGAUCAGCCCUUUCCUUUGCUAUUGUGGGCCUUAGGAGGUCUGAGAUGCUGUCUAAGGAAAUGCUCCCCAGACUGCGAGACGUUUGAUGCGGACGGGAUGAAGCCCUUUUUGGUCUUCGAUCUCCCUUCUCUUGGGGCGGGGAGCGGUCUUCUCUCUGUGACCCAAAGCCAGCCAUGUGCUCAGCUCUGUCUUCCCUGGGGUCUCCAUUGAGGGUGGUGGCCUUAAGUGAACACGAGUGACUCCUGCUAACUACAGAUUGUCAUGAACGGGAUUGAAAACUGAAAGCCGUUAGCUCUAACGCGGCAUAACUUCUCCUUCCCCGAAGGCAUUGCCUUUUGGCACUCGGGAGACAAGAUGCAGGUUCCGUCUCAGAAGUAAUGGCUGGAUCCCUGAAAGCCAACGGGCUCGGUGUGGUCCACCCGUCAGAAGGCAUAGGUAGAUGGUGGGCAUCUGCCUCAGACAUAGUUCUCAAGUUCAGCCAGAAGAAUGCGCGUUGAGCCCUCUGCAGCCCGUGUCGGUAAGGGUUCCAAACAAGUCCAGAAGAGGGUCUGUGCCGGUGUAAUUUGGGGCUAUAGAGUGUCGUUCUGCAACUCAACGUGGUUGCCAGAACCGGAUUUCCAAAAAUGAGUUGGGUUGGCACUGGGGGGUUUGGGGGGCCUCUUGCUGGUUGAGCUGAGGAUGAUUUAAGUUAUCCCUGUCUGAAAUGACACUUUUGUGAAGAGUCAUGGUUUACUGAGGCUCGACGUUUUGAGGUCUGUUUUGAGAAUGACCACAGUAAGGUUGCUUCUGUUAGAAUGAAGUGGGAUCUCUUUAUUACUCCUUCAGACGGAGGUGUUGUCUCCAGGAAGCAUCAUGGAAAGGCGUGGUGGUGCACAAGGGCCUUCAGGAUGCCUGCGCCUGGUGACGGCUGCGCCUCAGGUUCUGGGCCUGACUCGGAAGGGUGCCUGUGAGCAGAAGAGCUGGCACGCGCAGCUCAGUGGACCAUCAGUGCCAACCCGUCCUGUACCCUGGCUGAGGGGUGUGCUAAGUGGCAGAUUCCCGGUUGGCUCAUCGUAAGGCGUGGCACAAAAUCACCAUCGAAAGAAAGGGCCUUCGGGAUGCCUCUAUCUGGUUAUUGCCCUGUAGUGCCAGAGAGAACCACAUAGCCUGCUGCUGCUCCUGCCUUUAAUUUCCCAAAGAGUCAUCAGACGACCUUGGAGUUUGUUCUGCAAGAGGAGCCAGUAAGGCCUCGUGACUGUGGUCACCCUCGGAAGCCUUUGACAGCUAGCUGGUGAGGGCGCUCAGUCGGAGGCCCUGGGGAGGCCCCUGCUAAGCCGAGAAAAGCAUUUCUCACAGUGGAUUUCCUGGAAGUCAGGGUUGGCCUUUGUAUUUUGAAGCACAAAUAAACUUUAUAAAAUUUAA
This 1636-nucleotide long non-coding RNA is filed under the name Mus musculus (house mouse). Its description in RNAcentral is "small nucleolar RNA host gene 16". The stretch from base 903 to 978 matches the Rfam family "Small nucleolar RNA R38". Lineage: Eukaryota; Metazoa; Chordata; Mammalia; Rodentia; Muridae. The record is from RNAcentral.